GGCGGCGGGGCCCGGCGCCAUGGAUCGCAACCCCUCGCCGCCCUCCAGCGAGGCGGAGGAGGAGAGCGACGCGGUGGGCAGCACGGUGUACAGCAAGCACUGGCUCUUCAGCAUCCUCACGCGCCUCAUCGAGCUCAUCAGCCCCGAGAAGUCCGAGCCCAGCGGGAACCCCGAGGGGAUCCAGACGGACCUGGACGAAGAGAUGGAGAACGACAUCUGCAAGGUGUGGGACAUGUCCAUGGAUGAGGUAGGAGCUGGGCCCUGGGGUCCGAGUUUUAUCAAUCUGAAGUCUUGUGGGGAAGAGUUGAGGAGAGGUGCGGGCUGAAGGUGUUUCAGGUGGUACCGCCUGUCUGGCCCGGCUGGCAGCCUCCUUGGAGUCUCCGAGCAGA
Molecule: long non-coding RNA, 389 nt
Filed under: Gallus gallus (chicken)
Lineage: Eukaryota; Metazoa; Chordata; Aves; Galliformes; Phasianidae
Description: long non-coding RNA NONGGAT002830
Source: RNAcentral